GAGAUUUUCAGAUUUUGAAACAACGUCGGAACACUGAGAAAAGAGUGUGGAGAAUUCGGAGUGAUGUGAGAGAAUGUAUUGCCGGACUUUGGAUUUAAUAUCGACGGAACGAAGUUGUAGACGGUCGAUGAGAAGACGGAGAUCUGGAGCAGAUAACGGUGAGUUUACAUCGUCGAUGUCCGGCGACGAGAGUAGAUCUCUAACGUCAAUUGAAUUGAACAGUACGUCCAUGUCUCGCCGGAAAACUCCCCUUUGCCUCUCGCGGCCCGUUUUCAAUUACUCACGUAUAGUAAAAUAGAUAGAAACCAUUCCUAAAUACCAAAAGGUCUUCUAAUUAAAUUUUGUUUGUAUUUUUCUUAAAAUUCAUAUA
Molecule: unclassified non-coding RNA, 370 nt
Filed under: Hevea brasiliensis (rubber tree)
Lineage: Eukaryota; Viridiplantae; Streptophyta; Magnoliopsida; Malpighiales; Euphorbiaceae
Source: RNAcentral